RNAcentral lists this ribosomal RNA (1368 nucleotides) under uncultured organism. RNAcentral's name for it is "16S ribosomal RNA". It matches the Rfam family "Bacterial small subunit ribosomal RNA". The record is from RNAcentral.
GACCGGCGGACGGGUGAGUAACGCGUGGGUAACCUGCCUCGUACAGGGGGAUAACAGUUGAAAACGGCUGCUAGUACCGCAUAAGCGCACAGUACCGCAUGGUACGGUGUGAAAAACUCCGGAGGUAUGAGAUGGACCCGCGUCUGAUUAGGUAGUUGGUGGGGUAACGGCCUACCAAGCCGACGAUCUCUAGACGACCUGACAGGGUGACCGGCCACGUUGAGGACUGACACACGGCCCAAACUCCUACGGGAGGCAACAAUGGGGAAUAUUGCACAAUGGGGGAAACCCUGAUGCAGCGACGCCGCGAGAGCGAUGAAGUAUUUCGGUAUGCUUAGCUCUAUCAUCAGGGAAGAAAAUGACGGUACCUGACUAAGAAUCCCCGGCUAACUACUUGCCUGCAUCCGCGGCAAUACGUACGGGGCAAGCGAUAUCCGGAUUUACUGGCUGUAAAGGUAGCGUAAACGGCAUGGCAAGCCAAAUGUGAAAGCCCGGGGCUCAGCCCCGGGACUGCAUUUGGAACUGUCAGGCUAGAGGGUCAGAUAGGAAAGCGGAGUUCCUAGUGUAGCGCUGAAAUGCGUAGAUAUUAGGAGGAACACCAGUGGCGAAGGUGGCUUUGUGAAGGAUGACUGAUGUUGAGCAUCGAAAGCGUGGGGAGCAAACAGUAUUAGAUACCCUGGUAGUGCACGCCGUAAAGGAUGAAUAGUAGGUGUCGGGUGGCAAAGCCAUUCGGUGUCGCAGCAAACGCAAUAAGUAUUCCAUAUGGGGAGUACGUUCGCAAGAAUGAAACUCAAAGGAAUUGACGGGGACCCGCACAAGCGGUGGAGCAUGUGGUUUAAUUUGAAGCAACGUGAAGAGCUUUACGUGGUCUUGACAUCCCUCUGACCGCUCUUUAAUAGGAGCUUUCUUUCGGGACAGAGGAGACAGUUGGUGCAUGGUUGUCGUCAGCUCGUGUACGUGAGAUGUUGGGUUAAUUGCCGCAACGAGCGCAACCCCUAUCUUUAGUAGCCAGCAUUUUGGAUGGGUACUGUAGAGAGAUUGCCAGGGAUAACCUGGAGGAAGGUGGGGAUGAGGUCAAAUCAUCAUGCUCAUUAUGACCAGGGCUUCACACGUGAUACAAUGGUGUAAACAAAGGGAAGAGAGCCCGCGAGGGGGAGCAAAUGCCAAAAAUAACGUCUCAGUUUGGAUUGUAGUCUGCAACUCGACUACAUGAAGCUGGAAUCGCUAGUAAUCGAGAAUCAGAAUGUCGCGGUGAAUACGUUGCCGGGUUUUGUACACCCCGCCCGUCACACCAUGGGAGUCAGUAACGCCGGAAGUCAGUGACCCAACCGCAAGGAGGGAGCUGCCGAAGGUGGGACCGAUAACUGG